AGACUAAGUGCAGAGUUCUGACCCAGGAGUUGGUUGUGGGCAGAGCUACAACUUCAGGACACUUGGGAGGGGUGCCUUGCUUCCCUUUGGCGGGGGCACCCCUCCUGGUGCUACCUCUCCACUCUGUUUCAGUGUGUGUGUGCUAUCGCGUCAAGGAGACCAACUGUAGGCUUUUGGAGAAACUUGGAAAGAGAAGUUCAGCACAGCCAGUGACUGAAGUCCCAAGGACGUGGCAGAAAAUCAAGAAAUAAAAAAGCUGGAGAGACACUAAGAGAACACUGGAUGUUAAUUAUACUGGCAUUUCUUUUUUAAAGGCUGGAGAAACUUUGGAUGCAAUUAUAAAUCAAAACCAAAAAUAAAUCUUCCUUCAAAGGAUGAUCCCAGGUGCCAGCACGACUCUUGAGAGUAUUUCAGAGCUUCCUCAAUUUCAACCAAAGUCCAAAGAUUCCCUGUAAACAGAGGUACUAUGUAUUUUUAAUUCUGACUUUUGACAAUUUUCCACGGGAAUCUCAUGUUUCUGCACACCUUGUGAGAGGAGGCACAGAGCUUUCUUGUUCCAGACUAUCUUUUUAUGUAGGAAACAACCUUGGAAGAGAGAGUUUUCCCCUCUUGGACAGCCUUGCUUGCAUGCCCUUUAAAAGACUAGGCUUCCUGAGCUGGAAAUUCCUCAGCUGUGACAGCCUCUACCUGGGCUACUCGGCAUCGCCCCCAUGGAACUUGGAAGACCAGAGGAGCAGAUGAGGAACAGGAAGCUCACGCAGCCAGAGAGCCUUCUGACCUGGGACUCUCCCGUCUUUGGCCAACGUCCAUGACACUGUGGCAGGUUAACUUGUUAGCUUGCACACAGCGUCUGACCCUUCAUAGUUGUUGACACCAGUCACCCCCGAAACUUAAAUCUCAUAGAAUAAAAGGAUUUCUUUGUCCUACCUGAUUUUCCACCUCUCUCAGGCAAACGAUCUAAUACAAUUCCAGUGCAAUGAAUACGUAUGGAUUGUCUUCUGGAGUUUGUUGCAAAUGCACUUAAUAUUUCCAGCCAGAAAAAUGAGAAGUUAAUAUAAUGUAUUAAAAGACAUAUGUAAGAGAGACAAUGGUUAGAUAGGACUAAAAGAGGUUAAAGGGGAAGAAGGUAAUCCUAGAAGGUGGAAAUAAAAUAAAUCGCAAAGCACAUAUUUAAUUUUGGUUUAAUCCCACAAGCGAAACCCUUCUUUGCUUAAUUGAAAAUUGUGGUCCUAUCGCCCUCUACCGGAACCAGGCUGGAAACUACAGGGAAAUUGUUUGAAGUUGCUCUUCAUGGAAUCUGCUCACAUCUCUGUUAUGCAUUGCUACCACUUUCCAGACUUUAAAGUAUAAACCUCCGGUGUUCAGAAAGAUAAAGGAACACAGCUCCCUUUGCAUCUGCAGCCUGACAGGUUAAUGCUGAACCACCUCAUGCUGAAAAGAGAGUGGGCAGUCCUUCCCAAUACUCACCUUUAAUUUGUAGCAGCCAGAUAACAGGACCACUGACAGAACCACUAACAGUAGCCUUUGCUGGACAUCCCAACAGGUCGUCCCUAGCACUUCUGCCUCCACCUACCCCACUUCUAUUCCAUGGACAUCUGCUUAGAACCCUUCCCUCAUCUAUUAACCCCAUCACCAAACCUAUUCAGUUCCAUCUCAGAAAGUAUCACUUUGCUCCUGGGCCCUACAGGACUAGACGGAAUGCCAACUCUUCCAGCAGAGUAACAUCACACUGUGAACUCAAACGGUGAGUGCCAAAAGUCCAAACCUUCAUUUUAGUUUAAAUGUUACCCUAUCUAGGGGCGCCUGGGUGGCUCAGUUGGUUGAGCAGCUGACUUCAGCUCAUGAUCUCACAGCUCGUGAGUUCGAGCCCCGUGUCAGGGUCUGUGCUGACAACUUGGAGCCUGGAGCCUGCUUCGGAUUCUGUGUCUCCCUCUUGCUCUGCCCCUAACCCACUCACAUUCUGUCUCCGUCUCUCUCAAAAAUAAAUAAACAUUAAAAAAAUAAAUAAAAUAAAUGUCACCCUAACUGUACCUAAAAGCAGCCUGCCUAAAUGUUUUGAUCAUGCACUGAAAUCAGAAAAAAAUAUAUAAUGCACCAAUAAAUGUAUUAUUUAUUUACAAAUUAUAUAAGUGUACAAUUGUACAAUAUAUUAUGUACAUUAUAAAACACACAAAAAUAGAAAUUUAAAAGGAUGAGAGUAAAUACAAAUAACCAUUUUACCUUUUCCCCACGGACUGAUUAUCUGCAUACCCCAGGGAUAUAUAACACACCCACCUGAAACCACAGCCCUAAAGCAUGCCAAGGAUUGCUGUAUUUGGAUUUUUAGCUCAAGUUACAGAAAAAUGUGCAAGAUCAUAGCUUUUACAGUUUUGCAAAAUAGCCCUAAUAUCUAGUUUAAAUGUGUGAAGAUGUUUGACACUAACUUAAGACACAUUAGGACCAAUCACCACACAGCCAAUGAAAUGGUACUUUAUGGUUCAAUGUUAGCUGUUUCAUCUUAAGGCAAACUUAAAUGGGGGUUUCAUAGAGUUAAGUAAGAAUAUUUGGGGACAAAAAUGCUUUCAAGAAAUACUUAAAGGAUGACAAUUUGCCUGUUUAAGAAAAGCAAAAAACAAAAAACAGCUAGUAUCUAAAAAAGUAAUUCCUCUGCCUCCAGUGGAAAAGACUUUAAAAGCGGUGGGGGGGGGGGGGGUAGGGCAUCCCAAACAAUGACCAUUAGCUAAUGCAAACGGUUUAGAAUGGAUUGCCACAUAUCUGCCUGUCCUGAUACCAGUGAGUCCUUAAGAACAUGAAUUCUUUGAUUUCUAUAGCCCCAGUAUCCAAUCAUUGCCCUGGAAACAUAGAAACGCAGUGAAUAUAUGACAUAUGAUGAACAACCCCUCAAAUACAUAGACUGCGGAGUUACAUUUGAAAUAACUGUUGCGAAAGAACACUUCAGCAUCUGGUUUUGAUUUGUUGAAGCAAAGAACUAGACAGACAUCAUGGUCAGCAAUACACUCAGAGAGUUUCAUUACAUUCCUCAACAUCCUCCCACAUCUUUUCCCCAUCAGUCAGUCCUUUGGCAUCCCGCAACCCACAAUGCUUCCACCCAAGGUCUGAGCUUCCCGCCAUGCAGCAGAGUAAAACAGCAAGCCAGGCUUGUCCUUCUCCACCCCUUAGUGCAAGCUGGGAGAAAUGUAAGGGUAUUACCCCACACCAAGUGCUCCUUAAUUUUAAAAAGUUAUUCAUGAAAACUUAAAAACUUUGUAGAAAGGACAUGAACAUCUGACUUUUGAGAUUGGGAUACACACAUGACAAACACCAUGGGGCCUCAAUCAAGUUUUGUAACUGCUAGACUUUCAAGUGUGGUCUCCUCAUGGAAGAGUUAUCUUCUAGUAGGUACUUUGCCGAUUUAGAGAAAAAUACUACACAAUUUAAAUAAAUUUCAUAAAUAAUGUUUCACUUUGUGUACACAGUUUUCAUCUGUAUGCUUGAUUAUUCUGUUGACAAAAGUUUCUUGAUGAAAACAAAACUGAAACUACACUAAGAGUUUCCAUUAGAUUAAUGCAAACCAGGGUCAGUUAUCAAAUCUUGAUCAGGAGAAGACAGGAUAUGGAGUUUAGAGAUUUGCUGAAGAGACGGGGGAACCAUAAACCGAACGCUCAGUUCUUUUCACUAUUGCAAUAUGGAGGGUUUUUUUUUUUACCUAAAGUACUUAUUAGAGGAUAAUGUACUUACUUGGUUGGGAAGUACAUAUAGAUCACCCAGAGGGCAAAGGAAAACAGACUAGUGGCAUUUUCUAAGGUCAAGGUGAUGCUGUUUUUUUAAGUACUAUGGUGAGUUCUUAGGUUGUGAAAUCAUCCUCUCUAAACACAGAAAGCCUCUGUAAGACAAAAUGGCUACUAGAAUAGAAAUACUUUCUUGAAAAUUAUCUUUUAAGAAAACCAGGACAUGUGUACAUUACACACUGGUUCGUUCACACGUUUUCUUGAACAACUCCUUUUGCUUGAUGCUACGGGCAGGGCUCACUGCCUUCUACCACACUUAGGUGACCAGCAGCUGUCUCACCUGACAGUCUCACCUUCCCGGCAAAACCUAACUCAAAAAUUAAACCCUCUACUUGCGAAGAGAAACAACUCCUCAGUGGCACUUCUGCCUGCCAAGGAAGGGUCUAACACCUUUAAAGAGAAAAACAGGUGAUGGAGUUUCCAAUGGAGAAAUCGCUUUGAACAUACUGUAGAAAAUAUUACAUCCUAAAUUUAGAACCAGGAAAACCAUUCAUGUUUUUGGUAAUUUUCACAUUUUAUUUCCAACUACUGCAGUAACAAAACACCAGUGGUAAUUCUGAAUGGAAAGUGGCAACCUUUUAAAUCAGUAAGGUCACAAAUCAGUAUUCCAACAGUACUUUGGCCUAUGGAGAUUUUGAUAGGAGAGGGAUUAUUACAAUCAGUCCUGUAAUAUUACAGACAUAUGCUUCCUCAGUAACUAGUAAUAAAAAUAUUCAUCUUACCUCAGUGAUUCAUCAUGUAUACAUUUCUACUCUCUAUAAGCACUAUCCUUCGGGGUUGCAAUGUGUGAGGGGGAAACUCCUCCCACUCAUACGGUUUUCUAUGCCAUACAGACACAGUGGCCACUUGAGCAGUAAUGGACAUUAUUAUAUUUUAGUUGAAAAAUA
Acinonyx jubatus (cheetah) is the source of this 4654-nucleotide long non-coding RNA. RefSeq lists it as uncharacterized. Lineage: Eukaryota; Metazoa; Chordata; Mammalia; Carnivora; Felidae. The transcript is spliced from 2 exons. The record is from RefSeq and is a predicted model, not a curated record.